RNAcentral lists this long non-coding RNA (392 nucleotides) under Trifolium pratense (red clover). Its description in RNAcentral is "long non-coding RNA (TPRA_LNC001328)". The record is from RNAcentral. Lineage: Eukaryota; Viridiplantae; Streptophyta; Magnoliopsida; Fabales; Fabaceae.
UAAGAAUCACGCUCCUUAAAAAAAUUCACAAGAAUAGAACUUGUUCUUUAGAAAUCAUAUAACAGGUAUUUACAUUAUCUUCUGAACAAGAAAAUUGGAAUCGGAGAACAUGGCCGGUUUAACAUUUGAAGCUUGCAACAGAUCCAACUCUCAACAGACAAUCUAGCAGCAAAAGAAAACUGAUCAUAAAAAAAAUUGAAAAUCAAAGUGAGACAAAUGUUUUGUGCUUUUUCUCAACAAGUUUGUUACACCAUUUUCAAAGAUUGAUUUUCAUCGAGGAGCAUGAAUAAGAUGCACUACCAAUCCUGUAAAAAUAUACAGCGUGAGUAUGUAUUUAUCCCUUCUUAUCAUAAAAGAACAUCAACGACCAGAGAAAAUAUCCAUACCCAANN